UGUCAGAAAAUGAAGGAAACAUUGCAGAGUUUCAAGGGGAGGAAUAACACCUUGAGAAGUUGAAUAAUUUAUCAAAAUUUGGCUUAAGAUUUCCCAGAAUUGAUAAAAGCCACACAUUAUAGCACUGAGCAAGACAAGAAAAAAUCGAUACCCUGACCCACAUCAUAGUGAAACUGCAGGGCAUCAAAGACAAGAGAAAAUCCUAAAAGCAGGCAUAAGUAAAAGAUACAUUGCCUCAGAGAAACUGUUGGGCCAGCUGCAGUCUGUUAAUUAACUGAAGCCAGAAGACAAUGGAAUAAUGUCCUCAAAGGAGUGGGGGGAAAAUAACUGUCAUCUAGAAUUUUGUACCCAGCAAGACUACUACAGGCAUUUUCAACCUUGUAAGAAAUGAAUUUCCCAACUGCAAGCCCUGCAGAAAAAGCUACCAACGUUCAUACUUCUGGAAGAAGAAAACUGAACUUAGAAGAAGCGAAAUGCAUGAAAGAAUGCUACGUGUAAAAACUGCUUUCUUUGAGGAUGUGAUGUUUGGAACUGCUGCAGCGAUCUUGUGAUCAUGAGGAGAAGGCCAUAAUAACUGUCAAGAGUAUAGUGCCCUAAUAUUGUGGAUGUGUUGUGCCAUCAGUGUCUCUGGAAUCUCCUACUUCUAAGCUUCUUAGAAUGCUCCUGAAGUUGGUUAACUGAAGAGGUAAACAGAUCUCCUUCUCAAAGGUCUACUCAUCUCAGAAAUACACUUGGAGACACUUCAUUCAGCUUCAGUGUUCUUAGCAAAGACUUACUUUUGUGGUAUAAAAUAUAGAGCCGUGCUCCAAUUAUAUUCUUAUUUUUCCUUUAACCUAACUGAUGAUGGUUUUUAAGAGCCUUGAAGGUUAGAGAUACUGACUUAAAAGUAAUUCAGCAAAACUGACAUCUGAUGUAAAACCUGAAGUUAAAAGAGAUCGGACAUGUGUUGACCAAUCUCCUUCAACCACAUGUUUUAGCAGCUCCCUGGGAGGACAGUGGUCUUUCAGCCCAUUCAUGUGCUUGAGGAUGAAAAAUAUGUGCUGGUAUAGGCUGAAUAAGUGCGUGUAUACUAAGUCAUUAUGCUCAAACAAAGUAAAUGACAUCCAAUUAUCAUAAA
Molecule: long non-coding RNA, 1117 nt
Organism: Felis catus (domestic cat)
Lineage: Eukaryota; Metazoa; Chordata; Mammalia; Carnivora; Felidae
Exons: 3
Source: RefSeq, a predicted model, not a curated record